Molecule: ribosomal RNA, 424 nt
Filed under: uncultured bacterium
Lineage: Bacteria
Description: bacterial SSU rRNA
Rfam family: Bacterial small subunit ribosomal RNA
Source: RNAcentral
AAGACCUUUGCACUUUUGGAGCGGCCGAUGUCUGAUUAGCUAGUUGGUGGGGUAAUGGCCUACCAAAGCUUCGAUCAGUAGCUGGUCUGAGAGGACGGCCAGCCACACUGGGACUGAGACACGGCCCAGACUCCUACGGGAGGCAGCAGUGGGGAAUUUUGGACAAUGGGCGCAAGCCUGAUCCAGCCAUGCCGCGUGAGUGAAGAAGGCCUUCGGGUUGUAAAGCUCUUUCAGCCGGGAAGAAAAGGUUGCGAUUAAUAAUCGCAAUUUAUGACGGUACCGGAAGAAGAAGCACCGGCUAGCUACGUGCCAGCAGCCGCGGUAAUACGUAGGGUGCGAGCGUUAAUCGGAAUUACUGGGCGUAAAGGGUGCGCAGGCGGUUUUGUAAGUCAGAUGUGAAAUCCCCGGGCUUAACCUGGGAACU